UCCUACGGGGCGCAGCAGUCGGGAAUAUUGCGCAAUGGAGGAAACUCUGACGCAGUGACGCCGCGUGCAGGAAGAAGGUUUUCGGAUUGUAAACUGCUUUAGACAGGGAAGAAAAAAGACAGUACCUGUAGAAUAAGCUCCGGCUAACUACGUGCCAGCAGCCGCGGUAAUACGUAGGGAGCAAGCGUUAUCCGGAAUGAUUGGGCGUAAAGGGUGCGUAGGCGGCCUGCUAAGUCUGGAGUGAAAGGUACCGGCUCAACCGGUACAGGCUCUGGAAACUGGCGGGCUAGAGAGCAGGAGAGGGG
This 305-nucleotide ribosomal RNA is filed under the name uncultured bacterium. Its description in RNAcentral is "bacterial SSU rRNA". It matches the Rfam family "Bacterial small subunit ribosomal RNA", at positions 337 to 659 of the family's 1533-position model. The record is from RNAcentral.